This 376-nucleotide ribosomal RNA is filed under the name uncultured organism. RNAcentral's name for it is "partial 16S ribosomal RNA". It matches the Rfam family "Bacterial small subunit ribosomal RNA", at positions 525 to 896 of the family's 1533-position model. The record is from RNAcentral.
GAGGGGGGUGCAAACGUUGUUCGGAAUUACUGGGUGUAAAGGGUGCGUAGACGGGUUCACCAAGCUCGUUGUUAAAUCCUCCGGGCCUAACCGGAGAUAUGCAAUGGGAACUGGUGGGCUAGAGGAUAGAAGAGAGAAGUGGAAUUCCCGGAGUAGCGGUAAAAUGCGUAGAUCUCGGGAGGAACACCGAUGGCGAAGGCAGCUUCUUGGUCUAUUCCUGACGUUGAGGCACGAAAGCGUGGGGAGCAAACAGGAUUAGAUACCCUGGUAGUCCACGCCGUAAACGAUGAUCACUGGACGUUGGGCCGGCUUUGCUGGCUUGGUGUCGUAGCUAACGCGUUAAGUGAUCCACCUGGGGAGUACGGUCGCAAGAUUA